GUUAUUAAGGUCCAACAUGCCUUAAAAGCAAAUGGAUCAAGAAGAGAAAGCAAAUCCAGAGCAAUAAACUCCAGUUCUUUUAGAACACUUACUGCUCUGGAUGAGGAUUUGAUGCGAUGUAAAUAUGUGUAGGAACAAUCAUCAUCCUACAACUACUCUUACUACUUUUUGUUGCUGCAACAAUAUGAAUUCCAUAGUAAGAAAAAGCAUGAUUUACAAUAACACAUAAAUAGGAAAAGAGCAUGAAUAGGCAAGCUCUGUAACCACUACUCAAAAGGGGGCAAUGGAGUGCUGAUGGUGGGUGCUUUGAAGCAUUUUAUCAAAUAAAUUGAGAUCUCUUAAAGAUGGUUGGAGUAGGCUUCUACAGAUCCUUAUUGUGAACAAAUACAAUGAUCAGCAAUGUAGCAUAAUUUUACGAUUGCAAAUGUAAUGAAAUAUACACAAUAUAUCAUAUAACAAUAACUACAAAAAUUUUCAAAUCUCCCAUACGUAUAAUAAAUUAACUUCAAAUAAAAAUGUUAUGCUAAUUAUUUAAUGGUAUAAAAAUGAUCCAAAUCCUAAUAUCUAUGUGACUAAGGUGGCAUGCUUGCUUCUCUACCCAUGGUUGUUUGCAUCUCAAAAAGAUAUUUUUUAUACUCCAAAUUGCUAAUGACCCAUAAUUUGGAUAUUGCUAUCUUGGUUGCAAAUAGCUAGGAGUGGUGCAGUGAUUUCUGAUAACACUGAAAUGAAGAAUGAUUCUAAGAAAGUUAUUGAAGAGUUUAGUUCAAGAUAAAACAAUAGGUUAAAAUGGUUGAGAAAGGAGGAUUAGAGCACUGGUUUGAGGAGAAUACUUGUACGGAUUUCUGCUUCAAGCACUCUUAGAUCGUGUCACUAGCUCAUAUCUCGUUUGAAGGAGAAUACCUUAUACUUUACUUUCAUUUUCUCAUCUUAUUAAAUUCCCUCUCUUUACCAAAAAAGGAAGGGAAAAUUAGCAGCAGUAGAAUUAUGUUGGAAUAUUAAGAUGCUA
Molecule: unclassified non-coding RNA, 1006 nt
Filed under: Hevea brasiliensis (rubber tree)
Lineage: Eukaryota; Viridiplantae; Streptophyta; Magnoliopsida; Malpighiales; Euphorbiaceae
Source: RNAcentral